Taeniopygia guttata (zebra finch) is the source of this 9316-nucleotide non-coding RNA. The record is from RefSeq and is a predicted model, not a curated record. Lineage: Eukaryota; Metazoa; Chordata; Aves; Passeriformes; Estrildidae.
GAUCCUUUUAAUCAAUCUCUGCUUUAUUCUUUAGCUCUGUCCAGCGUCUGCUCUAGGCCAGCCUUCCCAAGGCAUCAUACCACAAGCAUCCUGCUGAGUGAAAAAUUUGGAUUAUUUGCUUGGAAAUACCAUGCAGCCUUCCCAGACAGGGAGGCCUCAAGGACUCCAGUCUGCCAGUUCCUAAGUUGCAAAGGGUCUCAGGUCUGCGUUCACAAAAUGUGCUUUUCAAUAUCUGAACUCCAUUCAUUUCAUAUGGAGCUGAGCUGUAAAAUGUUUCCUUGUCUUGAGGAGCAAGCAAUUUGAUUAAGGUCAAAAGGGACACUCUUGUGGAGGAGGUUUCCAGGUGUUAGAGUUGUUACCUGAAGGAGUGUAGGAAGGGCCAGCACAUAUUCAAGAGAGAUUUUGGUCUCUCUUUGUUUUAAAUCUCUUGCUCAAAUGUUCCUGGGCCAUUUGUCUUCAGAGAAAAGGAGGGGGGUGGAUGGAGUCGGUGAGGUAUGUCAAAGGCAUCUUUAAUUUUAGAUACAUGCUUCUUUUCUGUUCUUAUCAGUCAGAAUAAACUAAGUUUGGGUGGGUUUUGUGGCUGGAUUUUUGUUUUGGUUUUUUUUUAACAUUAUUGUUAUUAGUUAUUUAGUUCUAACACUUAUUAUAAAAGGAUGAUAGACACUGAAUCUGGAAUUAUCAUCCUGGACAUGAAUAGCACCACUCAGAAAACCAACUGAGACAUACUCAGAAUCACUCCUGUCCCUCUUGUUUGUUUCAGGUGUGCUGCCUUGGGGUCCAGUGCUCUUGCACUGAAGUCUUGCAAAGUUUCUUGUGUCAAUGCUAGGCGGUGCCUGGCCCUGGUAGGAGAGCCAAGGAGAAAAUCAGCUUUCCUUAUUUGUGUUUAUGUUGGUAUGAUUUUGGUGCAGAAUUUUGCUAUAGAGGAGGGAUGCUCCCAUGAUAUGCUGUGGAAAGAAAUCCAAUCACAUGCACAGGGAGACUGCAUUCCCCAUUUUGCCCUGCCCUGUGCAAUCAAGGACACUACUGGGUGCCCUGGAAUCCCUACACUGAGGAUCCCAUCACAUUCCUCUUCCACUGAGAUCAGUGGAGGUUUGGUUUUCCAUCAGAGCCCGUGAGAUCUGUCCUUAUUGUGCAUCAUCUUCUGUAUGAAUGAAGUUUAAUUCCUGCCUGUUGUUGUCUCCUUGCUGACAGAGCUUUGAUGAAUUCAGGGUGUCAUUCAGUGACAGUUUCUCCUUGCACAGGGAGCCUGAAUGCAGAAAACUGCAGAGGGCUGUGGAUGCUGAUGAAAGGUGUGUAGGCACACAGUUUGUGGUGAUUGGGAGUGGGGCUGGGGCUGAUCCUCAUCCCCAGUGGGUCCAAUUGGAACACCAAGGUUUGGGUUCUGAGGAUCACAAAGCAAAACUCCUUCUCUGUGCAGGACAGGUGAAUAAAACUGAAGGUGAGGAGCCAUGGAGUGCCCAGGUGUGCUGAGCAACCACACAGGGCACAGAGGCACACAGGGGCAGUGCAUCAGCAGGAGGGGAUAAAAGGCUGGGCUGAAGGACAAGGGGAGCAGAGCCUGCAGCCUCCUGAAGUGCUGUGGUGUUGCUUUGUGUGGGUUGGAGCUUUCUGAAAUAGGGUGGUGACACUCUGGGUAUUGUGGCUGUCUCGACUGUGACAAAGGUAUCUCUUGUUUUUCUAUCCAAAACUAUAUUUGUAUUACAAGCUGUACGUUCCACACGCUGUGUAUUUCAGGUUAAACACUUUCUGUUUCAUCAGUGGGUUUGUACUUUAAAGAUGCCCUCAACUUGCCCUGAAUACCUCAGGAAUUUUAAGAAUUUAUUUUUCAGGUCUCAAGCAUGAGGGAAGAUGAUCCCUCUUUGCAUUCAAAAUGGCAAGGCAUUAUUUUAAAGCAGAAAUUUUGCAUAUUUUCAGUUUAAGAAGCUAAGGAACAAUAUUUUUUUCUUUUAAAGUCAUCCUUAAAUAUUAGCUGCAGAUACACACACGGAAGAAAAAUAUGGUUUGAUCACAGAAGAAAUAGAAAAUAUUUUUAAUUCAAUGUUUAAAGGGCAUAAUUAUGUUUUAUUUUGUGCUAGAUGACAAGCUUAGAUAAAUGUUGCUUUAGAAAGAAUCUAUCCUACUGCAGAGAGUGCAGUGGAGGAAUUGUAUACCAAUUUAUACUCCAGCAUUUAUUUCUGUGUAUGCUUAUUCCUGUUAGCUAUUUAUAGGCAAUGUUACUUAUUCAGGACUCAUAGAUCUCAAAAUUAAGGACAAAAAUGUUAUAAGGAUCUGAGUAAAUGAGAGGAACAAGGUUUAAUUCUUCUGAAAAUCUGCAAGAAAAAAUUGGUUUUUUGGUGCCUUUUUACUUGUGAACAUCUCCUCUAAUUACUGACAGGAUGAUUCCAUAGGCUAGACAAUAAAACUGUUUUGUGUGGCUAGUGAAAUAUUUUCUGUUACCCAGAGUUUAAUGGAGGAUUAGCAUUUUUAUGUCUUUGAAAUACGCAGAAAAUGUGAGAAAACUAGAAAGUAGAAAUUUUACUGAUUUGCUGCUCUUUGACCUAUUUUACAAGAAAAUAUUGCCAGAAUUGAUUAGCGAUGCUGGACAGCUCAAUUUCUAAGCAAAAUGGAGUGGCUGUAAACAGAUUUUCUCUUGAAUUCAUGAAGAAAAAGUGCUUUUUAAAUUGUCUUAUUUUUGAGCACCCAGAAACAAGGGCAUUCAGACCACUAUCUACUUCUGAAACAUUCUGAUGGUUUGACUGAUUUGUUCCUUUUGAGAGAACAGAACAAAUAAUAUUCCAGCUGUUUUUGUUUUCUGUGCUAUUCUGUAUUUUGAAUUCCACCUACUAGAAGCAGGCAGAGAACCCACAAGGUUUCCAAGCACAGUCUGUUGCACUGCCAAAUAAAACAACAGAUGUGAUUUAGCAGGUUCCCCUAAUUAGUCAGGCAUCUCACAUUAUAGGAUUGCCCAAGGAACUGCUCCUAAUACCUCUGCCCUUGGCUCUAGGCUUUAAAAGGCUCUCCUGAUGCCAGGCUAGCACAGAGCAGGCAUGGCAAUUUGAGGUGGUGACACAAAUGUGUCUGGGAGCAGCCAGGGCUGGCUCCUUUCCAGGGACUGGGAAAAGCAGGAGCUGAGUGUGAUCCCACAGCCACGGGAGUGGGACCUCAUCACUGUCCUACAGCAGGGGAAGAGUUAAAUGGGCUCCAGGUGAGGCUGGGCAAAACCAUUCCAGGUUAAAGGGCUCCAGGUGAGGCUGGCAGGACCAUUCCAGGUUAAAGGGCUCCAGGUGAGGAUGGGCAGGACCAUUCCAGCCAAUUUGGGCCCUGACAAAAGUCUUACAUUAACCACAGACAGCAGGUUCGGAUCUACUCUGUUAAGAUGCAGUUAUUCCUCAAGGUUUGUGUUGCUCCAUCCAAAACUGAAAAUGUGCAUUUUUUGCAGAGCUGUGAGUGCUGACCCAUUGUUAAGCUUUUUGCUGCUCUUGGUUUUUUUGUACCUGAAUCAUCCCUAGGUCUUAUUGCUUCAGUGUUUUACUGCUGCCAGUAUGUCUAUGAUUAUUUCUCCUAAGCUGUGGUCCCAGUUGCUUUUUUUAGACAGCUUCCUUGUGGUGAAAGGCCAGAACAUUUUCAUGGAUUUUCAAAAGCAGGGCUGUUUUUCAGCUGUUGGAUGUAUAGGUUCCAAAGAAGGUGCUGGGAACUAACUAAUGAUGUUCUGGUUUGGACUGACAUCCAGAAAGGUGCUAGAACAUGAUGUGUAGUAUUUCUUAAUCUUUUCAUUGAGAUGAUUAGUGGGGUUUUUUUUGCUGUCCUUGCAGCAGUGUCAUUGCUGGAACUGGAGCAGAUGUUGGUGUUAAGUAUACAGAGCCAUAGCAAAUGACUGCAUAUCUAAAUUUGUGUCUUGUUUGUACUACAAAGUAUCUGAGCUCUGUACCAUCAUUUUAUAAUGGUUGAGAUAUUUGAGGAGGUGUUUAAAAAUUAGCCUGGUGUGAACUAAAUGAAUGAAAAAAAACUGAAGUGAUGCCUUCCCUUGGUCUGUUUGCUGAGGGUGGGAGGUGAGCUGUGUGGCUCGUACUGAAGUUCUAACAGUGGAAUAUGACCUUAAAAUUGUGAUUGGACCUGGAAUGUUGUUGUUUCAAAGAAAGCCAGAGUUGGUUUUCUCAGUAUUUAUGCACACAGGUGGGAAACUGCACAUAUUUGAGAUGCAGAAUGUCCAGGCUGUUUUCAUGGGACCAUGGUGCCUGCAGACUGAAACAUGAUGGAAAACUCUAGAGCCCCAAACGCCAAGAUUUGGUUUCUGAGGAUCACAAAGCAAAACUCCAUCUCUUUCCUAGGGUUUUCUUCUUCACAGAGACCUCAGUCACUCUCACCACCUUUGUAGCCCACUGGCAAUCCCACAAAGGAGCAAUCAUAAGCAGUGAAAAUAUGAAGGUGAAGGAGAACAUCCACCCCAGAUUGUGUGGAAUAAAAGACUUAAAUGAAAAAUGCAAUCCAUAUAUUGCAAUGUCCUCCUUCAGCUUCAUUAUUUUUCUGCACACACAGUGUUUGAUGCAGUGCUGUGAGCAUUCUCUGGAGCCUUUUUCUGUGAUGAGCACUUAGUUUCUGUGGCUCUCUGGUGUUAAUGAGCCCAAGCAGAUUCAGGAACUAAAUCCAAAUGGCAGAAAACUUCAGGAAUUCAGUGAGCAAAGUUAAGAGGUUUUUGUUGUUAUUUUCAGUAACUGUUGGUAAGAAUGUGAUGUUAAUUGGAGGGGUUGACCUCUGCCUCCAAAGGCAGAUUCAUUAUUUCAUCUUUUCCAGCCUUCAGACUGUUUUAUCUUGGACCUUCCUCUUUCUAAGGACUGGUAUUUCUUCCAUUGUAAAGCAUUAAAAGAUUUUUUUUCCCAUUUGGAGCUGUUUUUUAAGGAGGCAGCUCCCUCUGUGAGUGCUUGCUGUGCAGGAAGGGCUGCAAAGGUUUGUGUGUCAGUGGUGCCCAGACCUUGGGAGAAGUCCUACUUCCGGGGAAAGGGAAAAGCUGUUCUGGGAUGCCAUUUGGAGCUGAGCAGAAGCAAACCCAGCAGCUCUCUGGAACAGGAGUCCAGAGCAGCUGUGGGUGCUCCAUCCCUGAAAUGUUCAAGGACAGGUUGGAUGGGGCUCUGAGCAACCUGGUCUAGUGGUUGUACCCACCCAUGGCAGGGGGGUUGGAACUAAAUGUGUCCCUUCCAAGCCAAACCAUUCUAUGAUGGCAGAUUUAGUAGCACUUUGUGCACUAGGAACUUUGUCUGGUUGAUAACAUAAUUUGCAAAAGCAUUUUUAUCAGGUAGAUCAACCCUGAAGUUUGGUUUUAGUUAAAACAGGUCAACUGGUCAGAUAACUCAGGGAGUAAAGGGGUAUCAAAUAAAAUGUUGGUAAACGCACAGAAAAGUGAAGGGCAUUAUGAAAUAAUUAUUAUCUCCUAAACAAAGCCACCAAAAACUUUGUAUUUACAUGACAGGCAUUUCCUAAUUCUCUGUGUCUGGGGCUCAAAGGAGCAGUGUGUUGUUACCCUGCUCCAGGUCUGCGAGUAGCAGCAGCUAUAGUUUCUCACAUUGAUAGUGAGUUUCACACACUUGGGAAAAAUGCUUUGAAAUCCCAGGAUUAAGGAGAACCGGACAGGAAUUACUGUGUCUCUGCUAUUGCCCACAGUGUUUCAGAUUGAGGAGAAGCUGUACUUUGUUCUUUCUGACAGUUCAGACACUGAUCUUUUUCUGCUGGGUUUACAGAUCGUGCUCUUGCCUGAAAGCACUUGAAGUGGAUCAUGAUCUUUCUUUUUACUAGAUAUUGUUGCCCAAAUAAAUACUUAGGACAGAAAUGUUCAAAAUGGUGUUGUCAUCCCCACUCAGUGCAGGCUUUCUAUGCUAGAAAAAGAGACAUCUAAAAAAUGAUUCAACUGCAUAAAUUAUAUUGUAUAUGCACAGGCACCAAGCAGAGCAUCAUAUUCUGCAGGAUGAAGAUCUCUAUUUAGGAAAGCAUCAAAAUCUGCAGUAUUUUGCAGAACCUGAAAAAUCAGAACCAGGGAUGUGUAGGGUUCUUGUUUUUGAGUUUGGCCUCAUUUCUGCUCCUGCCAUUGACUUGAAUUUUGGGCUGUAUUAAAGUAACCUUUGUGUUUGGGAGAAAGAGGUGGUCAGUAAUGCAGGAGGUGUAGUGGGUGUGUUAAUGUGUGCAAUGUAAUGGUUAUGUCAAUGUGCACAGCUGGAGCAGGACGUGGCACAGUGCUCUGGUAUUUGAGCCAGUUCUGAACUGAAAUUUGCUCAGGGCUUGGAACAGCCCUUCCCAGAACACAGGGAAGGGCAUUUGUGUGAUCAUUGAACAUUCCUCUUGAUUUAAUAUAAGCAAAGAAUAGAGAUUUAUUUUUAGUCCAGUGCAACUCUCUCCAAACCCUCCCCCUUUAACUUAAUUUUCAUUUUCAUUUGGAUUCACUUUCUUUUCUUACUGUUUUUGAGAAUGCUGCAGACAGUAGGGUUCUGUACCCCAGUUGUAAUCCAAUGGCACUCAGAAGGGAAGAGACUUUGCUCUACAGACAUUAUUCUGCAGGAUGAUGUGUACAGCACAGCUCACGGGCAGAUUUGUUAGGACUGUGCAUAUAGAAAAUGCUUCCAAAGCAAUGAGAGAUUUGGGCUGCUCGGUCAGGUCCUUGAAUGAUGAAUGGAUUUAUUCAACAGCAGUCAUCUGCAUGCUUUUGACAUUACCUGAGUUCCAUUUUGCUGUGGUCACAAGGAGCCGGAGGAAAUUGAGUUUUGUCAGUCUUGGGAAAUGGUGUCUAAUUGCACCCUGACUUAUUUAGUGUUCUGGAGAGCUGAUACAGUUGAUAUUAGAGGAUGAUUGAAUUUUAUUGAUGUGCGGCUGCUUGUUAUGAAAAGGAACAUCACGGUCCUGUUCCACUGCGAUUUUUUUUGUUUUAUGAAAAUAUUUUUGUAUCUUUCAUAUCAGAUGUGAUAUUAUUUCCCCACCAGAUGUCACGCAAACAAGCCCUAAUUAUGCACAUAUUCAGUGUACUGGAGCUCAGGGAACCUGCUCAAUGGCUGACUAAUAUUGCUUGCAGAGUGCUGUACUUGUAUAAAUAUAGCAUUUACUUGUUCCAAGCCACCUACAGUUACUUCUGCUUGAGAUUUAUAUAACCAGUAAUAUUUUAUGUUUUCAGCCUAUACAAAGGAGGUAUUGUAUUAGAUGAAGAAAGAGCUUCUUUUUAAUGCUGUAGUUAAGGUUCCACAGUUUCUCAUCUUGCUUUCCAACUCCUUCUGCUCUUGUAAAAUUCAUGAUGAAUUUUUCAAUUUAUUUUAUAAAUGCAGAGUUUGUUUCUAGAGCUUUAUUUCCUACAAGUAAACGAUCUGAUCUUCUUUUUCAGACUUUAGUGUUUCAAUGCAACGUUUUGGUAUGUUGCAAUGCACUGAGAACCUCUUGGUGGACUGGCCUUUAUCAACUUGAAAUAUUAAAUGGUACUGUAUGUCAAAGUAUGAAAAAAUAGUGGUUUAGAUGAUAUCCAGGAGGCUCCAUUCAUAAUCUCUCUCUCUCUUGUUAUUAUGUCAAGAAUAGUGUGUAUUAUUUACACUCAUUGAAGAGGAUGUGAGGCUAGUUUUACAUUUUCUGGGCCCGGAAUAGCCAUGAGUGAUGAAGCCAUGCCUUUCUGCCAGGGUGCUCUUGCAGGCAGCACAGCAGCUGUGCCACGAGCUGCAGGGGCACUCGGGUGUCCUGAGCAGCUGUGGCUGCCCCUGGAUCCCUGCAAGUGGCCAAGGCCAGGCUGGAUGGGGCUCUGGUCAGGCUCUGGGAGGUGUCCCUGCCAUGGCAGGGCGUUGGGAUGAUCUGAGCUGUAGGGUCCCUUCCAACCCUGACUAUUCUGUGAUGCUCUGUGGGACGUUUUUGCAGGGGAGUCCUGCAGGCAGGAGCUCUCCAGGAGCUGCAGAGCAUCCCCUGCCUGUUGCUCCUAGACCCACUUUUCCUCUUGCUGCUUUCUUCUGCAGAGGCUGUGGGCUUGAGGAAGAGGAAAUGUGAGAACAGGCAGCCUCCUCUUGACUUUAAAAAAUCAAGGCUUUUGUUUGUCAUGUAGCAGGCAGGAGUGUGAGGCAGCAAUGCUAUUUGUCCUAAAAGGACUCCCGUACCUAACUGGCAGGCCUUCUCCUGAGAAAGAAGCAAAAAGGAAAAUGCAGACUCUGUGAAUGAUGCUCCAGAUGUGUCCUCCUCCCUUUUCCUCCAGCUAGAGUUUUCUCUUCCCAAUCCCAAAUGAUUGUAACCAACAAUCACCCCUGUUUCUGGAGGGGUGCUUCUGUUUGCAUCUGUACCAGGGUGCAUUUUUAACUGAGUUGCCCUUGGUAGCUCAGAGGUGAUCAUGGCAGAGACAUUGCUGCAUGCCAGGGUUUAUUCUGAUCCUGGCCUGGAACAGGGAGAGGCAAUGCUCCCUUGUCACUAACAUGAAUUAGUGGGAUAUCACUCUUCUUAAGUAUGUGUGACCUAAUAAGAAAACUCAGUAACUAACCAUGGAAGAGUAAUUUUAGCAGAGAACAAAUUGCAUUGGGUAUAUUUAGUUUCUUUUACUUCAAACCAGUGAGAAUAUCAUUACUAAUCUUUAUUCAGGUGUCUUUUACUUAACUGCAUAGCAAAAUCUCUAGUCAAAGAAUAUAAAUAGAUUCAAGAGCAAUUGUGAAAUGCUAUCUAAAAUGAAUAGCUCAAAUUGGACUUGGAAAAUGAUUGCAAUAUAAAAAUGUAUUCAGUAUAUUGCUGAUUUUUUUCUAGCUAGAAAGCUUCUUUCUAUUUUUUUUUUUUUCUGGUUCUUAUGCUAUGGUGCCAUUCUUGAGAGGACUCCAAAGAAAUACAAAUACACCAGAAAAAUUACAUUAAUGAGAAGUGAGGAAAAAAAUCCCACGAGGUUUUGGUGGUUUUGUUGUUGAAAUAUUUGUAAUUUUGUGUUUUAAAUACAUGGCCUAAAAUGACUGACAAAAAAUUUCAAUUAUGAAAAGCAUUAUCAAGUUUUAGUACAUUCUGAUUAGCGUGAUACUCACUAAUGUGUUCUGCUUGGGAGCUGAUGAUGCAAGAUGGCUUAAAUGUGUAGUUCAUUAUUAUUAUGGAUGGUUUUUAAAUUUACUGAAUUGCUUCACCCAGUGCUGCAAAAUAAAAAAUUAUUUUCCCAAUUAUACUCUUUUGUACUGAAGUGUUUCUAGUUAUAGGAAUUUACAUGUCAGAAUAACUUGCUAAAGAAAAGAAUUGCUGUUUUUAAACAGAAAGCCAAUAAGAAUAAUGGUUGUUAACACAGAUUUCUAUUGAAUAGCUUAAAACAUAUUAAAAUUUAGAGACAAACAGUCAUAAAUAAAUAAAAACAUGAACAGUAAUAAAUAAA